This 253-nucleotide ribosomal RNA is filed under the name uncultured bacterium. RNAcentral describes it as "partial 16S ribosomal RNA". It matches the Rfam family "Bacterial small subunit ribosomal RNA", at positions 524 to 776 of the family's 1533-position model. The record is from RNAcentral.
UACGUAGGGGGCUAGCGUUGUCCGGAAUCAUUGGGCGUAAAGAGCGUGUAGGCGGCUCGGUAAGUCCGCUGUGAAAGUCCAGGGCUCAACCCUGGAAUGCCAGUGGAAACUGUCGAGCUAGAGUCCGGAAGAGGCGAGUGGAAUUCCUGGUGUAGCGGUGAAAUGCGCAGAUAUCAGGAGGAACACCAAUGGCGAAGGCAGCUCGCUGGGACGGUACUGACGCUGAGGAGCGAAAGCGUGGGGAGCGAACAGG